RNAcentral lists this ribosomal RNA (695 nucleotides) under uncultured bacterium. RNAcentral's name for it is "bacterial SSU rRNA". It matches the Rfam family "Bacterial small subunit ribosomal RNA", at positions 32 to 715 of the family's 1533-position model. The record is from RNAcentral.
AACGCUAGCUACAGGCUUAACACAUGCAAGUCGAGGGGCAGCAUUUCAGUUUGCUUGCAAACUGGAGAUGGCGACCGGCGCACGGGUGAGUAACACGUAUCCAACCUGCCGAUAACUCGGGGAUAGCCUUUCGAAAGAAAGAUUAAUACCCGAUGGCAUAAUUAGACCGCAUGGUCUUAUUAUUAAAGAAUUUCGGUUAUCGAUGGGGAUGCGUUCCAUUAGGCAGUUGGUGAGGUAACGGCUCACCAAACCUUCGAUGGAUAGGGGUUCUGAGAGGAAGGUCCCCCACAUUGGAACUGAGACACGGUCCAAACUCCUACGGGAGGCAGCAGUGAGGAAUAUUGGUCAAUGGACGAGAGUCUGAACCAGCCAAGUAGCGUGAAGGAUGACUGCCCUAUGGGUUGUAAACUUCUUUUAUAUGGGAAUAAAGUUUUCCACGUGUGGAAUUUUGUAUGUACCAUAUGAAUAAGGAUCGGCUAACUCCGUGCCAGCAGCCGCGGUAAUACGGAGGAUCCGAGCGUUAUCCGGAUUUAUUGGGUUUAAAGGGAGCGUAGGUGGACAGUUAAGUCAGUUGUGAAAGUUUGCGGCUCAACCGUAAAAUUGCAGUUGAUACUGGCUGUCUUGAGUACAGUAGAGGUGGGCGGAAUUCGUGGUGUAGCGGUGAAAUGCUUAGAUAUCACGAAGAACUCCGAUUG